This 253-nucleotide ribosomal RNA is filed under the name uncultured bacterium. Its description in RNAcentral is "partial 16S ribosomal RNA". It matches the Rfam family "Bacterial small subunit ribosomal RNA", at positions 524 to 776 of the family's 1533-position model. The record is from RNAcentral.
UACGGAGGGUGCAAGCGUUAUCCGGAUUUACUGGGUUUAAAGGGUGCGUAGGUGGGUAGGAAAGUCAGUGGUGAAAUCUUCGGGCUUAACCCGGAAACUGCCAUUGAUACUAUUUAUCUUGAAUACUUUGGAGGUAAGCGGAAUAUGUCAUGUAGCGGUGAAAUGCUUAGAUAUGACAUAGAACACCAAUUGCGGAGGCAGCUGGCUACACAAAUAUUGACACUGAGGCACGAAAGCGUGGGGAUCAAACAGG